This is a non-coding RNA of Pelobates cultripes (western spadefoot toad), 215 nucleotides long. The record is from the annotation of a GenBank genome assembly. NCBI's taxonomy places the organism in Eukaryota, Metazoa, Chordata, Amphibia, Anura, Pelobatidae.
GAAGAAUUGUCUUAUAACCUCAUUACCCAAAAAGUCUUCAGAGUGGAAAUAAACUCCACAAGAUUGUAACACAAUUAAAUGACCACUAUAGGUAUCCAGACUACGUCAUCUCAGUGUAGUGAAAGAGUGCAAUGGACCGGUCAUUUUAGAUAUAUGACAAGGAUUUCAUUGCAAGGCUAAAACACACCCCUAGUGGCCAUCUUCCUGAAAGCCAU